GAUGAACGCUGGCGGCGUGCCUAAUACAUGCAAGUCGAGCGAACAGACGCGGCGCUUGCCCCUCUGACGUUAGCGGCGGACGGGUGAGUAACACGUGGAUAAACUACCUAUAAGACUGGGAUAACUUCGGGAAACCGGAGCUAAUACCGGAUAAUAUAUUGAACCGCAUGGUUCAAUAGUGAAAGACGGUUUUGCUGUCACUUAUAGAUGGAUCAGCGCCGCAUUAGCUAGUUGGUAAGGUAACGGCUUACCAAGGCAACGAUGCGUAGCCGACCUGAGAGGGUGAUCAGCCACACUGGAACUGAGACACGGUCCAGACUCCUACGGGAGGCAGCAGUAGGGAAUCUUCCGCAAUGGGCGAAAGCCUGACGGAGCAACGCCGCGUGAGGGAUGAAGGUCUUCGGGUCGUAAAACUCUGUUAUUAGGGAAGAACAAAUGUGUAAGUAACUAUGCACGUCUUGACGGUACCGAAUCAGAAAGCCACGGCUAACUACGUG
Molecule: ribosomal RNA, 497 nt
Filed under: uncultured bacterium
Lineage: Bacteria
Description: partial 16S ribosomal RNA
Rfam family: Bacterial small subunit ribosomal RNA
Source: RNAcentral